AAGACUAUACUUUCAGGGAUCAUUUCCAUAGGUUGUUCCUAGAGAAGUCUCUCU
RNAcentral lists this small nuclear RNA (54 nucleotides) under Cervus elaphus hippelaphus. The record is from RNAcentral. Lineage: Eukaryota; Metazoa; Chordata; Mammalia; Artiodactyla; Cervidae.